This 82-nucleotide transfer RNA is filed under the name Marmota monax (woodchuck). Its description in RNAcentral is "tRNA.Ala". Lineage: Eukaryota; Metazoa; Chordata; Mammalia; Rodentia; Sciuridae. The record is from RNAcentral.
GGGGUUGUAGCUCAGUGAUAGAGCGCUUGCCUAGCACUUGCCUAGCAUGUGUGAGGCACUGGGUUCAAUUCUCAGCACCACA